CAAUACCUAUCUCGCGGAGGUGCUUAUUCAGCUACGUGUGUGUGUCACGGAAAAGAUGGCGAAAGGGGCCCCGUAGAUCCUCGAUACGUUGUAUCUACAACACCGGGAAUUGGCUGUUAUGUCUUUAAUAUGUAAAAAACUCCCUACAUGUGUACCUUUCUUGUCUUUUCUCGCAGUACUGAAAAAGGCUUUUCCAUAUCUUUUGAAUUUGGUUUGAAGUGCUGGAAGUUGUAAUAGGGUUCGACAGAUCGUCAGCAUUGUGAAAUAUGAUGCCAGGGAAUAGUUGUUUUGAUUUGCAAGGCUCCAUGAGGGCUAAUCAUCAACAGCUUCAGCAUUAUCAGUCUCAUUCGAAACAAGGGGCAAUUAAUGCAAAUUUCCCCCUCACUAUAGGUAGUAUGCAGCAGGACUGUAACCAGAAUAUUUCUUUGGCUGAUCAUAGUAAAGGCGAGAGGGGUAAGUCUGCAAGUGAUGAAGAUGAACCAAGUUUUACUGAAGAUGGUCUCAAUGACCUGAAUAGGGGAAAAAAGGCAACCCCAUGGCAGCGUGUGAAAUGGACCGAUCAGAUGGUGAGGCUGUUGAUAACUGCUGUUUCUUACAUAGGCGAAGAGACUGCUGCAGAGUAUGGUGGAAGAAGAAAAUGCUCUAAUUUGCAUAAGAAAGGGAAAUGGAAGUCAGUGUCAAAAGUCAUGGCUGAAAGGGGUCAUUUUGUUUCACCUCAACAGUGCGAGGAUAAAUUCAGUGACCUAAACAAGAGGUACAAAAGACUCAAUGAGAUCCUUGGCAGAGGAACUUCCUGUGAGGUAGUUGAGAAUCCUGUUCUUUUGGAUAUGCUGGAUCACGUAUCAGAGAAAGGAAAGGAGGAAGUUAGGAAAAUCUUAAGUUCAAAGCAUCUGCAUUAUGAAGAGAUGUGUUCCUACCAUAAUGGGAACCGCUUACAUCUGCCCCCAGACCUUGAACUGCAGCGUUCAUUACGCUUGGCUCUUACAAGUAGAGAUGAGCAUGAUGACAAUGAUGUUAGGAAGCACCUGCAAGAUGACAAUGAUGAAGAUGAUCACGAAACUGACAUGGUGGAGGAUGAGUAUGAAGAGAGUCAUAGCUUGCCUAGGGAGCACAGGUUACAUGGGAUGUCAGGAGGUUUUUCAAAGAGGAUAAAACAAUGCCAGGGUCAUGAAAUUGUUACUUUUGGUAAUUCCUUGACUACUCUCGAUGGUAAUAGGACUUUCAGUUCUCAACCUCAGAAGGCAAACACUGAUGCCAAUCAAAUGUUUUCCGAAGGCAACAAAGCUGAUAUUCUGCAGAAACAGUGGAUGGAUCAUCGUUCGUUUCAGCUAGAAGAACAGAAGCUACAAAUUCAGGCGCAAAUGUUGGAAUUGGAGAAAGAGCGUUUCAAUUGGAAAAGAUUUAGCAGGAAAAAGGACAUUGAAUUGGAAAUGAUGAGAAUGGAAAAUGAGAGGAUUAAACUUGAGAAUGAAUGUAUGGCAUUGGAGUUGAAGCGAAAGGAAAUGCUUGCUGACAAUGUUUAGGCUGUUGCAGUUGCGAAUGCUUAGCUGUAUCAGGGAGUGUGCAUCAAAGUUUACAUUUCUUAGGGAAGAAGGAAAACCACCUCAGAAUCAGGGUCCUCUUCAGAGCUGGUUCUAGGAAGUCCUCAUUAGUUUUAUCUGCUGAUGUUUCUUACACACUAUCAAACAUAGCUCUAUCAUUGAGGAACUAGUGUGUGCAUCGAAUUUUCCUUUUUUUUAGGGCAGAAGGAACACCACUUCAGAAUCAUGUUUUUCCUGCUAUAUUAACGGGAUAUUUUAAGGCAGUACCUUACAUAUAUAAAUGGCUUUUCCAUUUGUGGUCUUCUGAGAAGCAAAUUGUACUCAUCUUGGAGUUUUGCAAUGGAAAAGUUCAUAUUGGUGGAUAUACAAGGUAUAAUUUGAUUAUUUUUUCUUUCCUUAUAAAAAAGGUAUCAUUUGAUUACUGAUUUAUUCAUUUCUUUAUCCAAUGUUGCUUCUGCUCUUAAUUUCUCCAAGUUGAUGUGUUUUGGUUUGAAGGGAAGUAUUUGAAGAUCUUUCUGGAAGUGCGGAAGUGUUUUCUUCUUUCGAAUAUCAGGUCAGUCAUUUAUUGAAUUUUCAUCUUUCGAAUAUCAGGUCAGUCAUUUAUUGAAUUUUUGUUUGUAAAAAAUAUUUGUUAUCCUUGGUUAUUAGUAUAAGUUAUUACCUUAGAUCUACCUCCUUUACAUUAUAGUUUAGAAUAUCAAGUUAUCAUCUUGGACUAGUGUCGUUCUUUGUUUCUUUCUAGGGUACCCCUACUCUCCGCCCCCCUAGCUCAAUGCAGCGGGGAGAAGUUCUUUAGUAAUGGGUGAGGGGAUGAGAAAGUGAUGGAGCAUGAAAAUGUGCGAUCUCUUUCUGGAGUGCACAUAUAGUUUAACAAAUAGCAUAUAUACGAAAAUCACUAUACACUUACGAACAUGAGUUCCAUGUAUCGAUUUUGUAUGACAAAGGUAGGCUAACUCUCAUUGUUCCCACAUUACCUUUUUUAACACAAAGAAGGUCAAUGAGGGACACUCCCAUGGGUCUCAUUGAGCAUAUACAUGAAGGUGAGACAACAAGUGGCUUUCCUAAGGGCUAAGGCUAUGGACCUUGGCAUUCACACCUUUGUUGAGUAGUCACAUGUUUUAACUGAGACAAUCUCUCAUAUCCCAUAUCUUCUGUAUAUUUAAUAGGAAAAGUCUUUCUUUAUAAAUUGAGUGUUCUAUUUUGUCAUAAUGAAAACUACAAUGACUAAGUGUUUCACUAAAGCUUAACAUAAAGGCAGAAACAUGAUGGCAAAAUUGCUACUAAUAUCAUAUUGAAACACAGAAAGCUGUGUUCUAAAUUAAUUGAUGCAAGAAUUAACAUAUACAAACAGUAUUACAUAUCUAAAGAAGGAACAAUGAUAGCCAAAUAGUACAAGUACAAUUUUACUUUGUCUUCAAAAAGCACGAGUACAAUUUUUCACCAAAAGCAUGUAAUGCAGAGAGCAUUUAUAGGAGUGAUUUCGAAUAGAAAAGACGAAACAACUAUGACCAAAUGGUGUAAACCUUUAGAAGCAGGAGAAGUCAUAAA
Molecule: RNA transcript, 3089 nt
Organism: Nicotiana tabacum (common tobacco)
Lineage: Eukaryota; Viridiplantae; Streptophyta; Magnoliopsida; Solanales; Solanaceae
Source: RefSeq, a predicted model, not a curated record